AUGGAAAGUCAUUUCCCGUUUGGGGGAAAGGUUGUCGUCUUUGGUGGUGAUUUCAGGCAGGUCCUUCCUAUUGUGACACGUGGGACAAGAGCACAGAUCACGGAUGCUACACUUCUGAGAUCCUAUUUGUGGGAUAAGACACGCAAGAUAAGGCUCACGCGCAACAUGCGGGCACAGUCUGAUCCUUGGUUCUCCGAAUACCUCCUAAGGAUCGGCAAUGGAACGGAACAGACAAUUGGAGAUGACUAUGUUCGUCUCCUGACAACAUUGUGA
RNAcentral lists this ribosomal RNA (273 nucleotides) under Triticum aestivum (bread wheat). Its description in RNAcentral is "partial small subunit ribosomal RNA". Lineage: Eukaryota; Viridiplantae; Streptophyta; Magnoliopsida; Poales; Poaceae. The record is from RNAcentral.